This 425-nucleotide ribosomal RNA is filed under the name uncultured bacterium. Its description in RNAcentral is "bacterial SSU rRNA". It matches the Rfam family "Bacterial small subunit ribosomal RNA", at positions 356 to 772 of the family's 1533-position model. The record is from RNAcentral.
GGGGAAUAUUGCGCAAUGGGCGAAAGCCUGACGCAGCAACGCCGCGUGAGUGAUGAAGGCCUUCGGGUUGUAAAGCUCUGUCGGGCGGAACGAAUUGGUGCAGUGUGAAUAAUGCUGCACUUUGACGGUACCGCUAGAGGAAGCACCGGCUAACUCCGUGCCAGCAGCCGCGGUAAUACGGAGGGUGCAAGCGUUGCUCGGAAUUAUUGGGCGUAAAGCGCACGCAGGCGGCAAAGUAAGUCAGUUGUGAAACUCCCGGGCUUAACUUGGGAACUGCAGCUGAUACUGCCUUGCUUGAGUACGGAAGAGGGGAGCGGAAUUCCCAGUGUAGAGGUGAAAUUCGUAGAUAUUGGGAGGAACACCGGUGGCGAAAGCGGCUCCCUGGUCCGAUACUGACGCUCAUGUGCGAAAGCGUGGGGAGCAAA